GCCUUCUUAGGUCAGUUAGUACAGCGCGCCACUAGUAAUGACGAGGUUAGUUGUUCAAAUCGGCUAGAAGGUA
This 73-nucleotide transfer RNA is filed under the name Sphaerobolus stellatus SS14. RNAcentral's name for it is "tRNA-Thr (AGT) (tRNA-Thr-AGT-12-1)". The record is from RNAcentral. Lineage: Eukaryota; Fungi; Basidiomycota; Agaricomycetes; Geastrales; Sphaerobolaceae.